GACGAACGCUGGCGGCGUGCUUAACACAUGCAAGUCGAACGGAAAGGCCCUGCUUUUGUGGGGUGCUCGAGUGGCGAACGGGUGAGUAACACGUGAGUAACCUGCCCUUGACUUUGGGAUAACUUCAGGAAACUGGGGCUAAUACCGGAUAGGAGCUCCUGCUGCAUGGUGGGGGUUGGAAAGUUUCGGCGGUUGGGGAUGGACUCGCGGCUUAUCAGCUUGUUGGUGGGGUAGUGGCUUACCAAGGCUUUGACGGGUAGCCGGCCUGAGAGGGUGACCGGCCACAUUGGUACUGAGAGACGGCCCAGAGUGCUACGGGAGGCAGCAGUGGGGAAUAUUGCACAAUGGGCGGAAGUCUGAUGCAGAAGCGCCGCGUGUGGAAUGACGGCCUUCGGGGUGUAAACCGCUGUCGCCUGUGACGAAGCGUGAGUGACGGUAAUGGGUAAAGAAGCACCGGCUAACUACGUG
This 468-nucleotide ribosomal RNA is filed under the name uncultured bacterium. RNAcentral's name for it is "partial 16S ribosomal RNA". It matches the Rfam family "Bacterial small subunit ribosomal RNA", at positions 28 to 507 of the family's 1533-position model. The record is from RNAcentral.